CAUUAGAUGACUGAAAACAAGUAAUGGUCUCUUAAACCAAACCAUAGUAAAGUAGUGCCUACUUCUAAUG
This 70-nucleotide transfer RNA is filed under the name Ernobius pini. RNAcentral describes it as "tRNA-Lys". The record is from RNAcentral. Lineage: Eukaryota; Metazoa; Arthropoda; Insecta; Coleoptera; Ptinidae.